Molecule: ribosomal RNA, 2906 nt
Filed under: Enterobacter hormaechei
Lineage: Bacteria; Pseudomonadati; Pseudomonadota; Gammaproteobacteria; Enterobacterales; Enterobacteriaceae
Description: 23S ribosomal RNA
Rfam family: Bacterial large subunit ribosomal RNA
Source: RNAcentral
GGUUAAGCGACUAAGCGUACACGGUGGAUGCCCUGGCAGUCAGAGGCGAUGAAGGACGUGCUAAUCUGCGAAAAGCGCCGGCGAGGUGAUAUGAACCCUUGACCCGGCGAUGUCCGAAUGGGGAAACCCAGUGCAAUCCGUUGCACUAUCGUUAACUGAAUACAUAGGUUAACGAGGCGAACCGGGGGAACUGAAACAUCUAAGUACCCCGAGGAAAAGAAAUCAACCGAGAUUCCCCCAGUAGCGGCGAGCGAACGGGGAGCAGCCCGGAGUCUGAAUCAGCUUGUGUGUUAGUGGAACGGUCUGGAAAGUCCGACGGUACAGGGUGAUAGUCCCGUACACGAAAGCACACAUGCUGUGAACUCGAAGAGUAGGGCGGGACACGUGGUAUCCUGUCUGAAUAUGGGGGGACCAUCCUCCAAGGCUAAAUACUCCUGACUGACCGAUAGUGAACCAGUACCGUGAGGGAAAGGCGAAAAGAACCCCGGCGAGGGGAGUGAAAAAGAACCUGAAACCGUGUACGUACAAGCAGUGGGAGCCUCUUUAUGGGGUGACUGCGUACCUUUUGUAUAAUGGGUCAGCGACUUAUAUUCUGUAGCAAGGUUAACCGUAUAGGGGAGCCGAAGGGAAACCGAGUCUUAACUGGGCGUUAAGUUGCAGGGUAUAGACCCGAAACCCGGUGAUCUAGCCAUGGGCAGGUUGAAGGUUGGGUAACACUAACUGGAGGACCGAACCGACUAAUGUUGAAAAAUUAGCGGAUGACCUGUGGCUGGGGGUGAAAGGCCAAUCAAACCGGGAGAUAGCUGGUUCUCCCCGAAAGCUAUUUAGGUAGCGCCUCGUGAACUCAUCUUCGGGGGUAGAGCACUGUUUCGGCUAGGGGGCCAUCCCGGCUUACCAACCCGAUGCAAACUACGAAUACCGAAGAAUGUUAUCACGGGAGACACACGGCGGGUGCUAACGUCCGUCGUGAAGAGGGAAACAACCCAGACCGCCAGCUAAGGUCCCAAAGUCAUGGUUAAGUGGGAAACGAUGUGGGAAGGCACAGACAGCCAGGAUGUUGGCUUAGAAGCAGCCAUCAUUUAAAGAAAGCGUAAUAGCUCACUGGUCGAGUCGGCCUGCGCGGAAGAUGUAACGGGGCUAAACCAUGCACCGAAGCUGCGGCAGCGACGCUUAUGCGUUGUUGGGUAGGGGAGCGUUCUGUAAGCCGUUGAAGGUGUGCUGUGAGGCAUGCUGGAGGUAUCAGAAGUGCGAAUGCUGACAUAAGUAACGAUAAAGCGGGUGAAAAGCCCGCUCGCCGGAAGACCAAGGGUUCCUGUCCAACGUUAAUCGGGGCAGGGUGAGUCGACCCCUAAGGCGAGGCCGAAAGGCGUAGUCGAUGGGAAACAGGUUAAUAUUCCUGUACUUGGUGUUACUGCGAAGGGGGGACGGAGAAGGCUAUGUCAGCCGGGCGACGGUUGUCCCGGUUUAAGCAUGUAGGCGGAGGUUCCAGGUAAAUCCGGUACCUUAUUAACGCUGAGGUGUGAUGACGAGGCACUACGGUGCUGAAGUGAUAAAUGCCCUGCUUCCAGGAAAAGCCUCUAAGCAUCAGGUAACACGAAAUCGUACCCCAAACCGACACAGGUGGUCAGGUAGAGAAUACCAAGGCGCUUGAGAGAACUCGGGUGAAGGAACUAGGCAAAAUGGUGCCGUAACUUCGGGAGAAGGCACGCUGAUGUGUAGGUGAAGCCCCUGCGGGCGGAGCUGAAAUCAGUCGAAGAUACCAGCUGGCUGCAACUGUUUAUUAAAAACACAGCACUGUGCAAACACGAAAGUGGACGUAUACGGUGUGACGCCUGCCCGGUGCCGGAAGGUUAAUUGAUGGGGUUAGCGGCAACGCGAAGCUCUUGAUCGAAGCCCCGGUAAACGGCGGCCGUAACUAUAACGGUCCUAAGGUAGCGAAAUUCCUUGUCGGGUAAGUUCCGACCUGCACGAAUGGCGUAAUGAUGGCCAGGCUGUCUCCACCCGAGACUCAGUGAAAUUGAACUCGCUGUGAAGAUGCAGUGUACCCGCGGCAAGACGGAAAGACCCCGUGAACCUUUACUAUAGCUUGACACUGAACACUGGUCCUUGAUGUGUAGGAUAGGUGGGAGGCUUUGAAGCGUGGACGCCAGUCUGCGUGGAGCCGCCCUUGAAAUACCACCCUUUAAUGGCUGGUGUUCUAACGUAGACCCGUGAUCCGGGUUGCGGACAGUGUCUGGUGGGUAGUUUGACUGGGGCGGUCUCCUCCCAAAGAGUAACGGAGGAGCACGAAGGUUGGCUAAUCCUGGUCGGACAUCAGGAGGUUAGUGCAAUGGCAUAAGCCAGCUUGACUGCGAGCGUGACGGCGCGAGCAGGUGCGAAAGCAGGUCAUAGUGAUCCGGUGGUUCUGAAUGGAAGGGCCAUCGCUCAACGGAUAAAAGGUACUCCGGGGAUAACAGGCUGAUACCGCCCAAGAGUUCAUAUCGACGGCGGUGUUUGGCACCUCGAUGUCGGCUCAUCACAUCCUGGGGCUGAAGUAGGUCCCAAGGGUAUGGCUGUUCGCCAUUUAAAGUGGUACGCGAGCUGGGUUUAGAACGUCGUGAGACAGUUCGGUCCCUAUCUGCCGUGGGCGCUGGAGAAUUGAGGGGGGCUGCUCCUAGUACGAGAGGACCGGAGUGGACGCAUCACUGGUGUUCGGGUUGUCAUGCCAAUGGCACUGCCCGGUAGCUAAAUGCGGAAGAGAUAAGUGCUGAAAGCAUCUAAGCACGAAACUUGCCCCGAGAUGAGUUCUCCCUGAGACUUUAAGUCUCCUGAAGGAACGUUGAAGACGACGACGUUGAUAGGUCGGGUGUGUAAGCGCAGCGAUGCGUUGAGCUAACCGAUACUAAUGAACCGUGAGGCUUAACCUU